RNA transcript from Carlito syrichta (Philippine tarsier), 1269 nucleotides. It is a transcript of the gene named keratin, type I cytoskeletal 18 pseudogene, with no coding region annotated. Lineage: Eukaryota; Metazoa; Chordata; Mammalia; Primates; Tarsiidae. The record is from RefSeq and is a predicted model, not a curated record. The transcript has a single exon.
ACUCGCUCCACCACCUACUCCACCAACUACCGGUUCCUGGGCUCCAUCCCGCCACCCUGCCUCCGGUCCACCAGCAGCGUGGCCAGUGUCUAUGCAGGUGUCAUUGGUUCACUCCUGGAUCUCUGUGUCCUGCUCCACCAGUUUCUGGGGUGGUUGGGGGUCCGGGGGCGUGGCCAUGGAGUUGGCCAGAAGUCUGGGAGACAUCCAGAGCGGGAAGGACACCAUGCAAAAGCUGAAUGACCAACUGAGCUCCUACCUGGAGAGGGUGAGGAGUCUGGAGACCGAGGACCAGAGGCUGGAGAGCAAAAUCCGAGAACACCUAUAGAAGAAGGGACCUCAGGUCAGAGACUGAGGACAUGACUUCAAGACCAUCGAGGACCUGAGGGCUAGAUCUUUGCAACUUCUGUGGACAAUGCCCACAUCGUUCUGCAGAUUGACAAGGCCCGUCUUGCUGCUGAUGACUUUAGAGUCAAGUAUGAGACAGAGUUGGCCAUGUGCCAGUCCGUGGAGAGCAACAUCCAUGGGAUCCGCAAGGUCAUUGAUGACACCAAUGUCACCCGGCUGCAGCUGGAGACAGAAAUCGAGGCUCUCAAGGAGGAGCUGCUCUUCAUGAAGAAGAACCAUGAGGAGGAAGUAAAAGGCCUACAAGCCCAGAUUGCCAGCUCUGGGUUGACCGUGGAGGUAGAGGCCCCCAAAUCACAGGACCUCAACAAGAUCACGGUGGACGUCCAGGCCCAGGAUGAUGAGCUGGCUCAGAAGAACCAAAAGUAGCUGGACAAGUACUGGUCUCAGCAGAUUGAGGAGAGCACCAGAGUGGUCACCACGCAGUCCACUGAGAUUGGAGUUGCCCAAAUGACGCCUAUGGAGCUGAAACGUACAGUGCAGUCCUUGGAGAUUGACCUAGACUCCAUGAAAAACCAGAAGGUCAGCUUGGAGAACAGCCUGAGAGAGGUGGAGGCCUGCUACGCCAUGCAGUUGGAGCAGCUCAAUGGCACCCUGCUGCACCUGAAGUCUGAACUGGCACAGACCCAGACAGAGGGCCAGUGCCAGGCCCAGGAGUACGAGUCCCUGCUGAACAUCAAGGUCAAGCUGGAGGCUGAGAUUGCCACCUUCUGCCGCCUGCUAGAAGAUGGAGAGGACUUCAGUCUCAGUGAUGGCCUGGACAGCAGCAGCUUCAUCCAGAUCACCCAAAAGACCACCACCCGCAAGAUAGUGGAUAGCAAAUUAGUGUCUGAGGCGUUGAGGCAGUGGGAGCAGGGUGCCCUUUGA